UACAGAGGUCCCAAGCGUUGUUCGGAUUCAUUGGGCGUAAAGGGUGCGUAGGCGGCAUCGUAAGUCGGAUGUGAAAUCUUGGGGCUCAACCCCGAAACUGCAUUCGAUACUGCGGUGCUAGAGGACUCUAGAGGAAAUUGGAAUUCACGGUGUAGCAGUGAAAUGCGUAGAUAUCGUGAGGAAGACCAGUGGCGAAGGCGGAUUUCUGGAGAGUUCCUGACGCUGAGGCACGAAGGCCAGGGGAG
This 245-nucleotide ribosomal RNA is filed under the name uncultured bacterium. Its description in RNAcentral is "partial 16S ribosomal RNA". It matches the Rfam family "Bacterial small subunit ribosomal RNA", at positions 524 to 768 of the family's 1533-position model. The record is from RNAcentral.